This 4047-nucleotide ribosomal RNA is filed under the name Triticum aestivum (bread wheat). RNAcentral's name for it is "partial small subunit ribosomal RNA". The record is from RNAcentral. Lineage: Eukaryota; Viridiplantae; Streptophyta; Magnoliopsida; Poales; Poaceae.
AUGACGGUCGCUGGAAGUGUGCAACCGCACAUAUUCGCGUUCAUUCUAGCCUCACGGGUGUUUUUUUGUUACCGGGCCCGCAACUACGCCCCUGAAGACCCGUUAAUCCCGAACAGAGCGAGCCUGUGGUUGGCGUCCUUCCCCUACCCCUGUUGCUUCUCCUGCAAGCGCGUCGAGGAAGAGGGGAAGUCGACACAUGGUGAUUUCGCGGCGGUAUCUCAUCUGCUACUGUUAAUUUCGCGCUGCUGCUCCUAUUGCUGUGGUGUUCUCCGAGCCCUGUGUCUCCCUUCUUCCCCCAACGAGAUUUUUCGGUUGUUGAUGGAGAGGGAGCAACAUCUCAGUAGAUGUAGAUGCAGCAACGCCUGGUCCAUCCAUGAAUGUGGUGUCUUCACAUUUAAGUAUAUGGAGAUAUUCACACCAAGAACUCAGAUGGCAAACUUUUUCUCCAGUGCAGACAUUCCAAAUCUUAGGAUCAGAUAUGCGAAUGACAUGUUUUGCAGCCCCAUGAACAGUUGUGACAAGUCUUUCGUAACUGGUUUCUAUCGUGAUGGAGAAGCAAUGCCGGGUGAGGCGACCUCAUCCUGGUCCUUUAACCUCCUCCCUUUGUUUUGCUUUUUAGCUGCCUUUUUCUAUUUGUUCUGGGCUGGAAAAUGGUUCCAGUCGAUUGGAGAAGACGAGAGGACGAGGCGGCGGCGGCGGAAGAGUCGACGGCAUUCGCGACCGUUGCUGGGGUUCACCGGGCCGAAGCGUCGUCGUUGGAGCAGCCGUGGUGAGAAGGUAAGGCUCCCUCCAUGGUCACAUUCCUCCCUACGAAUUCUUCCCCCUCCCUCCGUGUUCACUUUCCCCUCGAGUUUUCUCGAGAUUUCGGUGCAUUCGCAGCGCUCUGGUGUCCCUGUCGGCGGUGGAGUCGUGUGUUUGCCAUUUAGGGCGGCAUUGCACAGUUUCGUCGUCGUUGCAGUGGCAAUCAUGCCGGUGAGGCUCGCCUGGUCGGCAACCACAUCUAUAUUUGCCUGUGCUUGCGCGAGCGAUUUUCUAGCUAUUAGUUCUGGCACAUGGCAAUUACUGCCCUUUCAGAUGCUUAAACUUUGGGGUAACCAUGAAGGAGCUGCCGGUGAGAUGGGGAUGCAGACUCUGAUGGAUGUUCGGUGCAAGAAUCUAGUAAAUCUUGUAUGCGACUGGCUCGGUGAGAUAUAUGAGCCUGUGUCUAGGGAAUUUGUGAUUCCAGGACCUGGAAGACUGCCUUUGAAUGAGGAAUCUGUGUUCUGCACUUUGGGUGUGCCCCAUGGAGAAAUCAAAGUGUCGUAUGAGGAGGAUAAUGAGAUUGAGGAAGUUUUGUUCGCCCGUUUGUUUCCUGGAAUGGCAUCCAUGCCUAAUACGACUGUGCUGGCAACUUCGCUGGAGGGCAUGAGAACGCAUGGCGAGGUAUUUAAGAUGAAGCUGCUCAUGUACUUGAUAUCAGUUGUCUUUGCGCCUACCACAUCUCUUUGCCCAAGCAACAAGUGCUUCCCUAUCCUGGCGAAGCUGAAAGAUGUUAAGAACAUGAAUUGGUGUAGAUUCAUCGCAGACUUCCUGCAUGAUGCAUUCUCAAACAAGAUGUACCAGAAGGGCUGUCGCUUGCACCUAAUGCUCAUGUACGUCGAUCAUCUUGAUUUGUCAACUGUUGACUUUACUGAGAUAGGAGGCCCGCCGCCUCCACAUAAGUUUGUCAUCUCUGCAUGGACGUAUGAUGCUGUCAAGGCUGUGCUUGCCGCAGACAGGAUAUCUAAUACAAAAUAUGGGAAACUGCAGGUGAUGGCAAAGCAUGCUAUAGACUACAGUGUGUUUGGUGGGCCACAAAACUUUGGCAAGUGGAUAGAUGUGCAUUCAGCUCCAUCUUGUCCUACUGAGGUGAGGGCACCUGUUGAGCACCUAGUCGGGCAGUUUGCUUCUGGCAUGACCAGCUUGCUCGGGAAGUCGGUUGAGGGUUGGACGGCACUUAAUGGUUCUGACAGCGACGACGUUGUGAGGCAGUUCACAUCAUUUGUUGGAGAACGGAUGCAUCGGCCAACUAGUUGUUGUGGCCGAUAUGACUACAAUAGCUCUCAGGAACUCCCUGACACGCAAGAUGAGCUAGGUGGAGAUGCUGGUCUCGACAAGGAUGAUGACGAUGACAUGGAGAAUGUGCAACAUGAAACCGGCGAUGAUGAACAUGUUGAAGUUCUUGAGGCUACAGCUGGUGGACGAUCAGUUAAGAAGAAACAAGCACCCACGCUAACCUGUGUUUCUACCCGAUUGAACAAGGGGGCUCCCACUGCUGGUGCUACCACUUCCACUAGGUCGUCUCCUCACACAUCGACGUCCAACACCGGGGAUCCUAUCGUGCUGGAAGACGUGAAGAAGACAAUGAAGAGGGUGAAGAAGACUACUACACGCUCGACCAAACGCACUACCAAAGACCCACUUGAGCGCAUCCACUCCAAGUUGUCGACAAGUGGCAACUCAGAUAUUCAUGAGCCGCCAGUCGACAAAACUGCUGCAGCACCAUUCACUGUUCCCACUAACUCUGAUGCAAGCGGCCGACCAUCUCCGUCGGUUGCAGAUGUGCAGACUACAACAACAGGCAUACGUACAUCUAGGAGUGACGAGUCAGUAUCUGCCAGGACUGCUGAGAUAUUGCCCACUCUGGUGGUAAUGAGGGAUGCUGUUGUGACCCAUGCCACCCGAUCAGCAAGUGUUGAAGUGGACGCUCCAGAGAUCAACCUAAACAAGGAAGAUUCCCGCUCAUCUGAUGCGGAUUCCAAGCAUGUGAAUGAGAGGCCAUCCACAUGUGAGACUCAUUGCACAACAGCUCUAGCUGCUGGUGGUCCAGAGGCUGCUACGGUGACCGUUGCGCGAGCUGGUCUGCCACCUAGGCGGCGUAGCCCCUGCAAGCAUCUUGCACAGAUAUCCAAUGCACCAGAUGUAGCUAAGAGCAGCAGAGGUGACUCUGGUUAUGUGUCGUUCCCACCUUCUGCCAAAAGCAAUGUUAUGGAGAAAACGGAAGUUCGGAAUACAACUGACGUAGGUGGCAAGCCUUGCAUGACUGAAGGAGGUGAACAUUCAGAGCAGACUGUGUAUUUCACCGCCGUGGAGAACACCAUCUUAAAUUUGCGCACUUCUAAGCUCCUAGUCAACAUUGGUGUCCCCUAUAGCCCAAACAAGCAGAUGGGCAAGAAAGUUGCGAUUGAGACCGCUGACAGCACGCCCCGCCCUACUAAUAAGCCUGAUGAUCCUGGAGCAGAUAAGGCAGAAAUGUUUGUUGAUCUGUCACCUCUAGAUUCUGCCAAGCAACUUUUUCGCGAUCCGGCUGGUAGGCAGGAGAGGCACCCAAUGGCUUUUACCCCAUCGAGCUUUAGCCUUGGCAUCGAUCCCACUCAAGAUGAACCAGUGGUGCAAGAUCGUGUGCCUAUUGCCUUUCCUUUCCCUGUAGGCACGGCUCCAAUGAUGGCGCAGCCAAUGGCUGAUGGCAGGAAGGUUGUGAAGUUUGCAGAGCCGAUAGUGCAAGCCACCCCUGAGGAGAUUUCGCUGUCACUCGAUGAAGCUUACUGUAGGAUUGAGGAGGAAGCAUUGAAGAGGAGCUCAUGUUUGGACAGAACCAAAAUCAUAGAAUGUGAUGCGACAUACGUCGACCUGGUGAUCUUGCCGAGUUUGCAUAUGGACAUUUGUCCCGACAAGACGAUCAUGCAAUACAGCGUGACCUGCAAAAUAUGGGAUGGUGACUUCCACCAUAAAAUUUUGAGGAAGCAUUUUGCCGCACAUGGUGAAUUCAAGCUCACACUGAAGAAAUAUGUCAUGUUCCCCAUGUUCCAGGAGCUUGCACCACACAACCCAGAUGACAAGUGUGGUCACCACUACGCGAUUUGCCUUGACAUGAAGAACCAACGAUUCGAGGUGCUUGAUGCAAUCUGUUUAGGAGAAGACGCAGACCUUACUACACAUGUUGAAUUCUUCAUCAACAACAUGAAAGAGACAUGGAACCGUCACUACGAAAACUCAAAGGUCCAGAUCAGUCAUUUUUCUCGAGCAUGA